UCUCUGGACCUGCUCGGGAUUGGAGCGUAAUGCAACGUUCUAGGAAAGAGAGUAUUUCUUCUGGGUGUGGCCAACCCGGAUUUGUAGUUCCCAGGCCGGUGUUCCCGUAUGAAACCAAGGACGCCAAGCCAUACAAAUUCAGCACAGCUGACUCAGAGAGGUGGAAAGGAAAUCAGGACAAAAAGCCAAAAUGUCUUCUGGAGGAGGAUAUUGCCAGCCAGAAUAACUGUGAGAGAUGCAAGCAUAGUCCUGGAAACAAACAGCACAAUUCCUUUAAAGCCCUAAAGGAUGAAGAUCUUCCUGUAGAGAAGUAUUUAAUGGAAAGGCAGCCUGUAGGUGAGCCAGCUGCCGACCAGGUAGCUAUGGAUGUGAUGCACAGCCCCAUCCUCCAACUGGAAAGGAAACACAAAGUCUCAAGUGACAGCAACCAGACAGAGACUACUGCAGAGAAGUUGCCAGAGGACUCUUUCCUAAAAAACAAGCAAAAACAGGUUUAUAUAGGGCUACAUCCUAAGAAACACCAUUUGAUGCACCUUAGAGAACAGUAGGAGCAGCAGGUGUUGGCAGCAGAGAACAAACCUAGUCUGCAAGGCAGGAAGGAAGUGACCCAGACAGUCCAGCCUGAGGUCACUGCCUGGGAUUGUGAUAUCAUGAAAGAGAAACUCAGCAAGAAAAGGGCAGAGGUCAAAGGCAACAGAAGCUGGUUGGAAGAAUUUCUUAAACCCAGUGACAACGAAGAAGGCCCUCCACCGAAGAAUAAGGUUUUAUCCAACAAUGCAAGCAGCCAAAAGCCGACUCACUCAAGCUGCAUACCAUUGUUGAGGCUGCCUGAUAAGCAGCAGAAAGUUAAUGAGAGCAUUAAGACAGACAUGCUGUGCACAGACAAGGAAGAGGAGUGCCCUGCUGCCUCCCUGCUGCAGAAAUACACCAAUAACAGUGAGAAGCCAUCUGGGAAGAGACAAUGCAAAACCAAGCACUUGAUAUCUCAGGACCUGAGGCAGGGGUUCCUGCUAACAGGGAAGUGCUACGUUGAGAAUGCUGAUGGCAAGAUACCUCUUGGCACUUGUUUUCUCCUUGGGCUUAUAUAGAGGCUAUUUCCCCUCACCCCAACAUUCCCCACCUACCUGCUUUUCUCAAGGAUGUAAAGCCUUUCUUUUACUGGACUCCUAACUUCCCUGUCUUAGAGGGGAAGUCUUCCUUGAUGGUGAUAAAAUUGGAAACUAUUAAAAUUUAAGUUCAUACCCCAGUCUGUAACACUUUUCCUUUGAUAUUCCACCUCCCAGGAAGGAAAGGAAACUGCCUUCCCCAUGCAGGUUUGUCUUACAGGAAGGAGGAGGGGAAGCAGUGGAUGUGGAAAGGAUGUAGUCUUAAUCUUAACUGUGUAUACUAAUUCGUUUUGUCUUAGUCAACUGUCCCAAGAUUCAGAAAGCAACUUGAACCCAGUUCCAACUAUGAUCUGACUUCAUCCAAGCAGGAGAUGAAGCCCUUCAACUGCUUGCAAGAGUUGCUACCAGCUUCCCAGUCCAUGAAGCUGCCACACUCAUGUUCCCCUCAGGAAACCAACCAAUCUCGCCCAGUGCAGCUGAGAGCAAGGAGAAUUAUUGUCGAUAGGCAUGCUGGUGAGACUCUCCUGCAGCAGGCAGCAUGGCUUGGCUAUGAGGCAAGGUCUUGCUCUGUCACCUAGGCUAGAGUGCAGUGGUGCGAUCUCAGCUUAUUACAACCUCUGCCUCCUGGGCUCAAGUGAUCCUUCUACUUCAGAUUCCUGAGUAGCUGGGACCACAGGCCUCUCCAUGGUGCAGUUGAAAAUGAUUGUUUGGAAAUUGUCCGCCUCCUCCUUUCCUAUGGCGCUGGCCCCACUUUGGCCACCUACUCAGGCAGAACCAUUAUGAAAAUGACCCACAGCAAAGUUAUGGAAAUGUUUCUAACAGAUUACUUAAAUGACCUACAGGGUUGCAGUGACAGUAAGCUGAAUAGCUCUUGGGAGUUCUACGGCAGCUCUGUCUGUGAACCAGAUAAUGGAGGGGAAUCCAAUGUUUUGGCAGACCCCCCAGGACCAGAGGACCAGGAUGAUGACAAUGAGGCUUGCAGUGAUGUGUUUGAAUUUAAAUUUUCAGAUACCCCCUCUUACCUUGUUAAAACAUUCAAGUUUCAUCUUUGCAGGGACCACAAAACUGGUUAUUGCUUUCAGAUGUACUUAAGAAAGUGAAAAUGUCAUCCUGCAUAUUUCGCUGGAGUUUUCCACAUCUGAAAAUUGUCCCAAUUGCAGAGGCAGAGUUUUACAGACAGGUUUCAGCAAGUAUCUUGUUCUCUUCCUCCAAAGACUUGGAAGCCUUCAAUCUGGAAAGCAACAAACUACUAGAUUUACUAGAAUGUACAAAUGAACUCCAGAUUCUCCUUGGCUCCUCUCUGGAAUGCUUAAAUCCCAGGGAUGUGGCCUUGGAGAAGGACCACUGAUGAGAAGUCAAAUCCCACUGUAUACUGUGUGUUCUAGUGUUCAUCCUUGUUUAUAUUUAUCAAAGUACAACUACUUCUGUGGAGGAGGGACAUUAUUACAUAUGAAAAUAUUUCAGCUUUAUAUAAGAUAAACCCUCUAGCUAGAAGAUUUAGAAAGAUGUCUUUUUAUUUUAAACUUU
This is a long non-coding RNA of Homo sapiens (human), 2633 nucleotides long. Ensembl annotates it as BCL6 corepressor pseudogene 1. Its record names the gene BCORP1. Lineage: Eukaryota; Metazoa; Chordata; Mammalia; Primates; Hominidae. The record is from Ensembl.